UCUUCCUUAGCUCAGUUGGUUAGAGCAUCUGACUGUUAAUCAGAGGGUC
This 49-nucleotide transfer RNA is filed under the name Parabacteroides distasonis. RNAcentral's name for it is "tRNA-Asn". It matches the Rfam family "tRNA", at positions 1 to 46 of the family's 71-position model. From Rfam's summary of the family: Transfer RNA (tRNA) molecules are approximately 80 nucleotides in length. Their secondary structure includes four short double-helical elements and three loops (D, anti-codon, and T loops). Lineage: Bacteria; Pseudomonadati; Bacteroidota; Bacteroidia; Bacteroidales; Tannerellaceae. The record is from RNAcentral.